GGAGUUGCAGCCGAGUACUUGGGACAAACCCUGACAUCCUGCUCUGUAUGGACAGUGUGAGGAUUGCAUGGGUUCGUGACACUACGGAGGAACCAGAUAUGGCUACAUGUGAUCAAGGAUUGCAGAUAUCUGUUAUCGUCGAGGGAAGGAUGCCUUUGUCUACCGUGAUUCUAAUGAAGAUGGAUCUGUAAAAUGAUCAUUUCUGACAUCCUUCAUAUUCUCAUUCUUGGGCCUCCCUCCUCUGGCAUUUACACCAAUGUUUCCACAGUCCUUUGUGGAAGAGACAAUUGCUACACCGUG
Molecule: long non-coding RNA, 300 nt
Filed under: Fukomys damarensis (Damara mole-rat)
Lineage: Eukaryota; Metazoa; Chordata; Mammalia; Rodentia; Bathyergidae
Description: lncRNA (ENSFDAG00000024557.1)
Source: RNAcentral